GAUCAUGGCUCAGGAUGAACGCUGACAGAAUGCUUAACACAUGCAAGUCUACUUGAACUUCGGUUUGGGUGGCGGACGGGUGAGUAACGCGUAAAGAACUUGCCUCACAGACUGGGACAACAUCUGGAAACGGAUGCUAAUACCGGAUAUUAUGAUUUUAGUGCAUGCUAGAAUUAUGAAAGCUAUAUGCGCUGUGAGAGAGCUUUGCGUCCCAUUAG
Molecule: ribosomal RNA, 218 nt
Filed under: uncultured bacterium
Lineage: Bacteria
Description: partial 16S ribosomal RNA
Rfam family: Bacterial small subunit ribosomal RNA
Source: RNAcentral